This 115-nucleotide ribosomal RNA is filed under the name uncultured bacterium. RNAcentral's name for it is "partial 16S ribosomal RNA". It matches the Rfam family "Bacterial small subunit ribosomal RNA", at positions 355 to 470 of the family's 1533-position model. The record is from RNAcentral.
UAGGGAAUUUUCGUCAAUGGCGCAAGCCUGAACGAGCAAUGCCGCGUGAACGAGGAAGGUCUUCGGAUCGUAAAGUUCUGUUGAAGGGGAAAAAGAGCGGAGAGAGGAAAUGGUC